GCUCUUAAGAGCCAUUUCACAAAAAUCGGUAACAAUCCGCGAAAUUGUAAUAUUUUGACGUCGUUAAUCUCAGUGUUGGAUGCAAUAAUGUAAUUUAUAUUCUUGAAAUAUAAUAGAGCAACCUUUGUUGUAGCCCAUAGUCAGAUCAGAAUUUUGAUUUAUAUUAUGUGUAUAAAAUUAUUAACCUUUUCAUCAGCCUCCUCCCUGGGUAAACGGUCGCAAUGUAUACUUUGAAGUCCUACUUUUCAAUAACCUCUACGUUGAAACCAUUUUGAAAAAAUAUCAUAAUAUGUGGAAUAUAAUUUUUCUAUAUACUAAAAAAAAAAAAAAAAAAAAA
This 337-nucleotide unclassified non-coding RNA is filed under the name Melitaea cinxia (Glanville fritillary). RNAcentral describes it as "misc RNA ENSMCXG00005001799.1". Lineage: Eukaryota; Metazoa; Arthropoda; Insecta; Lepidoptera; Nymphalidae. The record is from RNAcentral.